CCUACGGGGGGCAGCAGUGAGGAAUAUUGGUCAAUGGGCGAGAGCCUGAACCAGCCAAGUAGCGUGCGGGACGAAUGCCCUAUGGGUUGUAAACCACUUUUGCAGGGGGAUAAAGUGCGCCACGUGUGGAGUAUUGCAAGUAUCCUGCGAAUAAGGACCGGCUAAUUCCGUGCCAGCAGCCGCGGUAAUACGGAAGGUCCAGGCGUUAUCCGGAUUUAUUGGGUUUAAAGGGAGCGUAGGCGGGCUGUUAAGUCAGCGGUCAAAUGUCAGGGCCCAACCUUGGCAUGCCGUUGAUACUGGCGGCCUUGAGUUCACACAAGGAAGGUGGAAUUCGUCGUGUAGCGGUGAAAUGCUUAGAUAUGACGAAGAACUCCGAUUGCGAAGGCAGCCCUGGGGCGUUACUGACGCUGAGGCUCGAAAGUGCGGGGAUCAAACAGGAUUAGAUACCCGAGUAGUC
Molecule: ribosomal RNA, 457 nt
Filed under: Salmonella enterica subsp. enterica serovar Anatum
Lineage: Bacteria; Pseudomonadati; Pseudomonadota; Gammaproteobacteria; Enterobacterales; Enterobacteriaceae
Description: bacterial SSU rRNA
Rfam family: Bacterial small subunit ribosomal RNA
Source: RNAcentral